Molecule: ribosomal RNA, 492 nt
Filed under: uncultured bacterium
Lineage: Bacteria
Description: partial 16S ribosomal RNA
Rfam family: Bacterial small subunit ribosomal RNA
Source: RNAcentral
AGUGAACGCUGGCGGUAGGCCUAACACAUGCAAGUCGAACGGCAGCACAGUAAGAGCUUGCUCUUACGGGUGGCGAGUGGCGGACGGGUGAGGAAUACAUCGGCAUCUACUUUUUCGUGGGGGAUAACGUAGGGAAACUUACGCUAAUACCGCAUACGACCUACGGGUGAAAGCAGGGGAUCUUCGGACCUUGCGCGAUUGAAUGAGCCGAUGUCGGAUUAGCUAGUUGGCGGGGUAAAGGCCCACCAAGGCGACGAUCCGUAGCUGGUCUGAGAGGAUGAUCAGCCACACUGGAACUGAGACACGGUCCAGACUCCUACGGGAGGCAGCAGUGGGGAAUAUUGGACAAUGGGCGCAAGCCUGAUCCAGCCAUACCGCGUGGGUGAAGAAGGCCUUCGGGUUGUAAAGCCCUUUUGUUGGGAAAGAAAAGCGGCAGGUUAAUACCCCGCUGUUCUGACGGUACCCAAAGAAUAAGCACCGGCUAACUUCGUG